GGAUUAGAUACCCUGGUAGUCCACGCUGUAAACGAUGGAUACUAGCUGUUUGUUACACGAUGGUGUAAUGAGUGGCCCAGCGAAAGUAAUAAGUAUCCCACCUGGGGAGUACGUUCGCAAGAAUGAAACUCAAAGGAAUUGACGGGGGCCCGCACAAGCGGUGGAGCAUGUGGUUUAAUUCGAUGAUACGCGAGGAACCUUACCAAGGCUUAAAUGGAUAUUGACAGAUUUGGAGACAGAUUUUUCUUCGGACAGUAUCCAAGGUGCUGCAUGGUUGUCGUCAGCUCGUGCCG
This 293-nucleotide ribosomal RNA is filed under the name uncultured bacterium. RNAcentral describes it as "partial 16S ribosomal RNA". It matches the Rfam family "Bacterial small subunit ribosomal RNA", at positions 775 to 1067 of the family's 1533-position model. The record is from RNAcentral.